CCCGACUGCUAUCAGAGUGGGACUAAGCCAUGCGAGUCGACACAGCAAUGUGUGGCAUACGGCUCAGUAACACGUAGUCAACAUGCCCAGGGGACGUGGAUAACCUCGGGAAACUGAGGAUAAACCGCGAUAGGUCACUACUUCUGGAAUGGGUAAUGACCCAAACCUAUAUGGCCCCUGGAUUGGACUGCGGCCGAUCAGGCUGUUGGUGAGGUAAUGGCCCACCAAACCUGUAACCGGUACGGGCUCCGAGAGGAGGAGCCCGGAGAUGGGCACUGAGACAAGGGCCCAGGCCCUAUGGGGCGCAGCAGGCGCGAAACCUCUGCAAUAGGCGAAAGCUUGACAGGGUUACUCUGAGUGAUUUCCGUUAAGGAGAUCUUUUGGCACCUCUAAAAAUGGUGCAGAAUAAGGGGUGGGCAAGUCUGGUGUCAGCCGCCGCGGUAAUACCAGCACCCCGAGU
RNAcentral lists this ribosomal RNA (460 nucleotides) under uncultured archaeon. RNAcentral's name for it is "bacterial SSU rRNA". It matches the Rfam family "Archaeal small subunit ribosomal RNA", at positions 24 to 489 of the family's 1478-position model. The record is from RNAcentral.